UACGUAGGUGGCAAGCGUUGUCCGGAAUUAUUGGGCGUAAAGCGCGCGCAGGUGGUUCUUUAAGUCUGAUGUGAAAUCUCGCGGCUCAACCGCGAGCGGUCAUUGGAAACUGGGGAACUUGAGUGCAGAAGAGGAAAGUGGAAUUCCACGUGUAGCGGUGAAAUGCGUAGAGAUGUGGAGGAACACCAGUGGCGAAGGCGACUUUCUGGUCUGUAACUGACACUGAGGCGCGAAAGCGUGGGGAGCGAACAGG
RNAcentral lists this ribosomal RNA (253 nucleotides) under uncultured bacterium. Its description in RNAcentral is "partial 16S ribosomal RNA". It matches the Rfam family "Bacterial small subunit ribosomal RNA", at positions 524 to 776 of the family's 1533-position model. The record is from RNAcentral.